AUUUAGUUAGUUUGUUUAAUGGACCCAAACCUUCUGGCCCGUGGGGCGGUCAGCUCCGCUCAUUAACUAAAAACACAAACAAGAAACGCCCCAAAUCUAAAACCCUACACAAAAUCAAGUGCCAUCAUGAGACGAUCUCUGCUAAAAAAUCUCUCUGUUUACACUCGAAAUGUUCUUCAUUCCUCUUCAAAUGCCGGCCCCAAAAUCCCUAAUCCUUCUCUCCCCAAUUUUACUCGGUCCGCUCUCAGGCUUUACUCGUCCGGUGAAAACCCGACAUCACCAUCCCCUGAAUCAACGCUGCUAGCACAACUCAAAAAGAAGGAUGAUUCUGUCGAGGUUGAGGAUGUCAGUAACAAAGAGCUGAAAGAGCUAAUGGAUAAGUACUUCAAGGGGGAUGAGGAGGUGCUUCCUUCAAUUAUGGAAAAAAUUUUACACAGGAGGUUGUCCGGAAAGCAUGAGGAGACAGAUGAUGAGUUGAUGGAAGAAUUUCGUAUGAAGCCACUGGAUGAUGUGAAGGACAAAGAGUUUGAGUCAGAUUUUGAGGAGCUGUAUCAGACGGAUGAGGAGAUUGAUGAUUUGUAUAAUGCCAAGGAACAUGUGACGAAGAAAAUGGUGAAGGAUGAGUACUUUAACAUGGAUGACAAGAAAUGGGACGAGAUGAUUAAGGAGGCAAUGGAACAUGGAUUUUUAAAGAACACAAGGAAAUGUGAGGAAAUUCUGCAGGAUAUGCUUAGCUGGGAUAAGCUUCUUCCAGAUGACAUCAAGGAAAAGGUGGAAAAGAAGUACAAUGAGCUGGGGGAUAUGUGUGAAAGAGGCGAGGUUGAAGCUGGAGAAGCAUAUAAGCUGUUCAAGCAAUUUGAGGAUGAGAUAGUCAUGGAAUAUGAAAAGAGAAUGGAAGCCAAGGGCCCCCCACAAUUUGAUGAAACUAUGAUGCCAGACAAGAAAGAAGACUUGGAUGACCCACCAGCUGAGGGACCAAUUCUUAGGUGGCAAACACGAGUAGUCUUAGCUCCAGGAGGUGAUGCAUGGCAUCCCAAAAACAGAAAAGUGAAAAUGGCCGUUACUGUCAAAGAGCUUGGUCUUUCAAAACAUCAAUUUAGACGGUUGAGGGAACUGGUUGGUAAACGAUACCAUCCAGGUAGAGAUGAACUUACAAUCACAAGUGAGAGGUUUGAACAUAGGGAGGAAAACAGAAAAGAUUGCCUUAGGACUCUGUUUUCGCUCAUUGAGGAAGCUGGGAAAGCUAACAAGUUGGCAGAGGACGCUCGAGCCUCAUAUGUGAAGCAAAGACUUAAAGCUAAUCCAGCUUUUAUGGAGAGGUUGCAGGCAAAGAUAAGGAAACAAGUAUCUAACACCAUCUCUGCAUGAGCAAUUUAGAUUCAGGAGAUUCCUGAUAUUCAUCUGAUCUAGUUGUUGGUAUUUUGCAUUAUUGUCCCUUACCAAAAUUUUGGUGGCAAAACUAUUAUUAUUUUUGCAUGCUGUUGAUGUAGUUAAUCAAUUGACAAAUGCCCUUCUUGCUGUUGCUGGGAGAAUUCACUCGUUGGCCUUUC
This 1550-nucleotide unclassified non-coding RNA is filed under the name Hevea brasiliensis (rubber tree). Lineage: Eukaryota; Viridiplantae; Streptophyta; Magnoliopsida; Malpighiales; Euphorbiaceae. The record is from RNAcentral.